Molecule: non-coding RNA, 113 nt
Filed under: Picochlorum sp. RCC944
Lineage: Eukaryota; Viridiplantae; Chlorophyta; Trebouxiophyceae
Source: RNAcentral
CCGUGUAAUCCAUGUAGUAACAUGCAAUUGAUUGAUUGAUUGAUCAUCAAUACGGGUCGGGUCAUUGUGCAAAUGGGUUGAGGCUGCCCAUUCGCGAGUCGGGGGCCGGCCAG